UCUCCGUAGGUGAACCUGCGGAGGGAUCAUUACAGAGUUCAUGCCCUACCGGGUAGAUCUCCCACCCUGUGUUAUUAUUACUUUGUUGCUUUGGCGGGCCGUUAGGCUCCGGCCCGACUACCGGCCCCGGCUGGUAAGCGCCCGCCAGAGGACCCAAAACCCUGAAUAUUAGUGUCGUCUGAGUACUAUAUAAUAGUUAAAACUUUCAACAACGGGUCUCUUGGUUCUG
RNAcentral lists this unclassified non-coding RNA (229 nucleotides) under plant metagenome. Its description in RNAcentral is "partial contains small subunit ribosomal RNA, internal transcribed spacer 1, and 5.8S ribosomal RNA". The record is from RNAcentral.